This 28-nucleotide non-coding RNA is filed under the name Cricetulus griseus (Chinese hamster). Lineage: Eukaryota; Metazoa; Chordata; Mammalia; Rodentia; Cricetidae. The record is from RNAcentral.
GCGGACCCAUAAACCCGGAAAAGCGCGC